UUUCUGGCGGCGGUAUAAAAUUCUCGUUAAAAAGUAGUGCCGGUGUUCUGUCAUUUCGUCCUACCUAUCGAAACGUCCUACCAAAGGCAACUGCGCAUGCGCACGGCAAUAAACCACGCUGCCGUAAGUUUAGUUGGAGUAGGAGAAGAGAGCAAGAGCAGCAGCAAUUACUUGUGUUUCUGGGCUGUCAGAACAUACAGUACAGGCCGAAAGUUUGGACACACCUUCUCAUUCCACGUGUUUUCUUUAUUUUCAUGACCAUUUAAAUUGUUAGAUUCUCACUGAAGGCAUCAAAACUAUGAAUGAACACAUGUGGAGUUACGAACUUAACAAAAAGUGGAGAUCUGGCCUCCACAGUCACCGGACCUGAACCCAAUCCAGAUGGUUUGGACCGCAGAGUGAAGGCAAAGGGACCAACAAGUGCUAAACUCCUCUGGGAACUCCUUCAAGACUGUUGGAGAAGCAUUUCAGGUGACGACCUCUUGAAGCUCAUGGAGAGAAUGCCAAGAGUGUGCAAAGCAGUAAUCAGAGCAAAGAAACUAGAAUAUAAAACAAAAACUUAUUUCACCAUUUUUUGUUAAGUUCAUAACUCCACAUGUGUUCAUUCAUAGUUUUGAUGCCUUCAGUGAGAAUCUCCCAACGUAAAUGGUCAUGAAAAUAAAGAAAACACAUUGAAUGAGAAGGUGUCCAGACUUUUGGCCGGUACUGUACCAAACGUUACUGCGUUUUAUGUGUAAAGUGAUACGUAAUGAAAUAAUAAAGGGACCACAGGAUCUUGGUGCAGUCUGCUGGGGUUCUCUGCUUGGCGGAGAGUUGACCUGCAUCGGGACCGGGGCAGACCACUAACUCCGCUCACAGCAUUGUGCCGUGUGCAUUUCAAGGAGAACUACCAGUAUAUAUAUAUACGACUGUUGCAAGGUGAGUGUGGACCGAACGCAGAGUUUUUCUGCUCAUUGUAGCAUAUUAAAAUGGACCUCCCACUUCAGGACCUGAAGUGGGAGACCAACAUCUCCUCCAUCCUCAAAAAGACCCAGCAGAGGAUGUACUUCCUGAGGCAACAGGGGAAGUACAGUCUUCCACAGGAGCUGCUGAUCCAGUUCUACACUGCAGUCAUUGAGUCUGUCCUGUGCUCCUCCAUCACCACCUGGACCUGUACCUCUCCAGAUCCAGGACAAGGGCAGGGAAAAUCAUCUCAGACCCCUCACACCCUGGUCACAGGCUCUUUGACCUGCUGCCCUCUGGCAGACGUUAUAGAAGCCUGCAGACCAGGACCAGCCGACACAGGACCAGCUUCUUCCCCCUCGCCAUCUCCCUCCUAAACAGCUGAGACUGUAAAUCACCUCCAUCAUUGCACACUGCACUUUAUGUUCACUUGGAUAUAAGAUUUAGUUUGUUUUUUGCCUAUUUGUUCAUAAAAGUAGAUAUAGUUAUUUAUGAAUCACAAACAAUCCACAACUUGGACAAUAACACCACACCCUUGCACAUUGUUGUUGUUGGUUUUUUUUUUUCCAACAUUGUACUUGAGAGACACCAUCUACCGGAAUCAAAUUCCUUGUAUGUGCUUGCACUUACUUGGCCUAUAAAUACGAUUCUGAUUCUGAUUCUGAUAUUACAGCGUCCACACAGGAGUACGAGACCUUAACUCUUGUAUUUGAAAACAUCAUGUGACCGUGUAGAAAAUAGGCACUGAUAAUCAUAAUCGAAUUGACUCGUGAGACCAGUGAAGGGUCACACCUCUGUCUAAAAACACGUCUUCAUUAAUUUCCGGUGAAAUAUGAUGCAUGUGGUGAGUCCUGGACGAAGUGUAGAUGUGGUUCUCCAGCAGACCUCUCCCAUCCUCCUGCCCCAGGCACAGGUGUGUGGAGGAAGAAGGUAUGAAUGAAGAUCAAUAUCCAUCAAACAAAAAAAAACAAGCACGCACAUACAUACACAGAUGUAAUGUAUUGGGUUAUAAAACAACUUUAUUUAUUUCUUAUACAGUGCAUAAUCACAGUGCAUACAGUGCAUAACCCCCCCCCCCCCCCCCACUCGACCCUUCAGCCUUCCAUUUAAUUUGGAAGUGAGUGUACAUAUUCAAUGCAUUUUACAGCGUUAAAAUGCAGAAUAAAACCAGGGACACAAAAUGGUUGAAGAAAGAAGAAAUUUGAGUAAGUAUACAAACUUAAUAUUGAGUUAAAGCAGGUAAAAAGUACUGUGAGUUUUCACGGCCACGUCCUAUGUAACGUGGAAAAACAAAGUUUUAUCAGGAAGAACGACCAUUUUAGGUGAGACGUGACUAUGAAAUGAAUAAGAACAGUAUUUGUCGAGUUUAAUGAACCUGUGUGUCUUGGAAAGUCCGAUCGAAGUUGUGCGAUCGUGAAAUCUUUCUGUCGUAGAUAAUCAAUAAGAAACAAUAAUAAAUAAUAAAGAAAUAAUAAUAAUAAACAUAUAUGAUGUAGAUGGGGCGAGUAGAUCUGCGGCGGCCUGCAGGAGAGUCACCGCGACGCCUCCGGCCUCUGCGGCGGUGUAAUGCUCCACCAUCAUUUCGGCCGUGUCGCAGCGGUCCGCCGCCUCCAGCUUCCCCCACAUGAUGGCGUCGCGGUCACGCAGGUGCGUCUUGAACCUCCUGAAGUCCGCGGAGCCGAGGUCGUCGAAGGUCCUCAGCAGUUGGAUCGCAGAGGUCAUCGUGCGUCCGGGGACUUAAAAAACGCCAGAGUCCUGCUGACAGGUCAGUGCUCGUAUUACCGUCCAGUCAAAAAACCUCAAACUUUAUUUUUCACUUUGACCUUCAAUCAGCCGCGGCUGGAAAUGGAACGAAUUAAAAGCGUCUAACGUGAUUUUUGGAUUACUGUACGGAGCCGUAAUCGGAAGGUUGCCGAAUCCCCACUGAGGUGCCACUGAGCAAAGCACCGUCCCCACACACUGCUCCCCGGCUGAUUGUCAUGGUGCCCACUGCUCACCAAGGGUGAUGGUUAAAUGCAGAGGACACAUUGCACUGUGUGCACCAUGUGCUGCGCUGCUGUGUAUCACAAUCACUUCACUUUAAUAACAAUCUGAGUGGGUGCAUAAACCAUAAAUGAUAAACUCACACAGCGGUCUGUCCUCGUCUCUCAAGCUCUUUGGAGCUCUUUGAUCGGGUCCACAGUGAUCCUUCCAAGUCCACUGAUCUACAAGUUAAUUUCACCCAAGGCUGGUGAAUUUCCAUGACAGCAUUACUUCUCGAAAAGAGGUCUCACGUUCGAGUUACUUCCUCCUGUGCCUGUGUAGGUGUGAAUUUUCGCAUGAUUGUUAUCUUCAAGCACGACCUUCAGCAUCUCGUGGGUGAAUUCUCAAGCACCCUGUCCUCCUUCUCAAAAAAAAAAAAAGGUGCAUUUCUCCAAGUCUGAACCAAAUUAAGGAAACCCUCUCAUCCUCUGGUAAAAAAUCCAGCUGUUCUGCCUGCAGCUGGGGACACGCCCUGUCACGCCUACGGACUUACGGGGGAAGGAAGCGCAGAGGUUUGACAUGUUGGGAAGGCGUUUUAUUAAUAAACAAACAAUAAACACAAAUAAAGAACGGCGCGGUGGCCAAAACGGGAAAUAAAGGGGAAUAACCUUAAACAAACCCGUAGGCGUGUGGCGAUUGCCAGAACUCACAACAUAACACAUAAAGUCAAGUUUGUGUAGAGUCCACGAAAAUGCAGUCCCUUCCGAAGGGGCGGAAAACUAGGGUAUUUAUGCGACGUCAGGAUUGGCCACCAGUGAUGAGCACAGCCGCAGUCAAUCCUGACACCGCCUGGGGCCUCAGACCUGCAGGAAUGCCGGAACAGGAGAGAGAAGUAAUGGUAGUAGCCUAGUGGCCUCCGACCCAGAGGACAGCAAAUUUACAGGUUCAAGCCCCACUUAUUAUCAUUUUGUCCCUGAGCAAGACACUUCCGUGUCUCCAGGGAGACAGUCCCUGUAAAGAAUGAUUGUAAGUCAGUAUUUUGAUAAAGGCCAUAAAAUGUUCUGCUCUGUGUGGAGGUGAGAUUGACUCGAUCUAUCUGAUCCCCGUCAGCUUCUUGGACCAGCUGCAGCGCCUCCACGUGCAACACAGUGACAUUGAUCGGACCUAACGGCAGAUAUAUUGAUGAGGUUCAGCUUGAUAACUUAACUCUGAGGAUCAUCAAAGCCCACAAAGAUAAGGUGGUCGUACAUUGGGGAACAGUUCAUGUUUGCUUUUUUAUCUGAAUUAUAAAAAAGCAAAUGCAAACUGAGC
Molecule: long non-coding RNA, 4215 nt
Organism: Denticeps clupeoides (denticle herring)
Lineage: Eukaryota; Metazoa; Chordata; Actinopteri; Clupeiformes; Denticipitidae
Source: Ensembl